This 16-nucleotide ribosomal RNA is filed under the name Bracteacoccus medionucleatus. RNAcentral's name for it is "partial 26S ribosomal RNA". The record is from RNAcentral. Lineage: Eukaryota; Viridiplantae; Chlorophyta; Chlorophyceae; Sphaeropleales; Bracteacoccaceae.
CGACCUGACCUCAGGC